This 213-nucleotide ribosomal RNA is filed under the name uncultured bacterium. Its description in RNAcentral is "partial 16S ribosomal RNA". It matches the Rfam family "Bacterial small subunit ribosomal RNA", at positions 1287 to 1500 of the family's 1533-position model. The record is from RNAcentral.
CCCAGUUCGGAUUGCAGGCUGCAACCCGCCUGCAUGAAGUUGGAAUCGCUAGUAAUCGCGGAUCAGCAUGCCGCGGUGAAUACGUUCCCGGGCCUUGUACACACCGCCCGUCACACCAUGAGAGUCGGGGACACCCGAAGUCCGUAGUCUAACCGCAAGGGGACGCGGCCGAAGGUGGAUUCGAUAAUUGGGGUGAAGUCGUAACAAGGUACC